This is a long non-coding RNA of Ictalurus punctatus (channel catfish), 711 nucleotides long. NCBI's taxonomy places the organism in Eukaryota, Metazoa, Chordata, Actinopteri, Siluriformes, Ictaluridae. The record is from Ensembl.
CAGCUCUGUCCUGCUGUAUUCUGUCUACUGUCUCUUUUGUCAGUUACUUUAGCCUUCAGGGUAGGGUAGUGUUUGUCCACCUGACACCGGCUCCAGACCCACCUGCCUGAAGCUUAGAAAGAAAGCUUACAAACAGGUUUGGCUGCUUUGUCACUCUCAUCUGACUGAAUGAGCCAACACACACACAAUAAACCCAGAAAUCAGGUCCCAGUCACUGGAGUCUCUCUCACUGAAGUGCAGACAGAGAACUCGAAUUUAAAACUGAGUUUCUGUAAAGAAGUGCAUCCUGGUUUUCUGUCUCGGACCUGUGUCAAGUCUGGAUGAUGUUGGGGUCCAGGAGAAAGAACACGAUUAACAAGAGGUUCAGCAUGCUACGCGUGGUUCUGCUUAAAGUCAAUCUGUGGAAAAGCGAUGGCAGAGUGUCUCAAACAUCUAACGCAUUAGAGUCUACUCACUUGACCCACUCAUUACUCCUGUCCCCUCUUUCUGCACUUCUAAAGGUAAGAGACACUGUCUUAUUCUUUCCUUCACUCACUUCUCUCUUUCCCCACGGUGUUACAAUUUCAGGAUGUUCACUUGGUUCAUUUGUACAGAGAUUGUUUCAUCACACUGACUACAGACUUUCUCUUUUUGAUUUCACUCAGAUUUCACUUUCGCCAAGUCUGCUUCAUUCUUCCUUAAUUCUAUUUAUCUCUGCUGCAAAAAUCUUUU